Molecule: ribosomal RNA, 399 nt
Filed under: uncultured bacterium
Lineage: Bacteria
Description: bacterial SSU rRNA
Rfam family: Bacterial small subunit ribosomal RNA
Source: RNAcentral
GUUGAACGCUGGCGGCAUGCCUUACACAUGCAAGUCGAACGGCAGCACGGGAGCUUGCUCCUGGUGGCGAGUGGCGAACGGGUGAGUAAUGCAUCGGAACGUGCCCUGAAGUGGGGGAUAACGUAGCGAAAGUUACGCUAAUACCGCAUAUUCUGUGAGCAGGAAAGCAGGGGAUCUUCGGACCUUGCGCUUUUGGAGCGGCCGAUGUCGGAUUAGCUAGUUGGUGGGGUAAAGGCCCACCAAGGCGACGAUCCGUAGCGGGUCUGAGAGGAUGAUCCGCCACACUGGAACUGAGACACGGUCCAGACUCCUACGGGAGGCAGCAGUGGGGAAUUUUGGACAAUGGGCGCAAGCCUGAUCCAGCCAUGCCGCGUGAGUGAAGAAGGCCUUCGGGUUGGU